RNAcentral lists this ribosomal RNA (105 nucleotides) under Pteropus alecto (black flying fox). The record is from RNAcentral. Lineage: Eukaryota; Metazoa; Chordata; Mammalia; Chiroptera; Pteropodidae.
UUCAGAAUUCCAUUUUGGAAAAUUUAACAUAUGUUGGAAGCUAAGCAGGGUCGGGCCUGGUUAGUACUUGGAUGGGAGACUACUUAGGAAGACCAGGUGCUGUAG